This 648-nucleotide long non-coding RNA is filed under the name Dasypus novemcinctus (nine-banded armadillo). RNAcentral's name for it is "lncRNA (ENSDNOG00000051695.1)". Lineage: Eukaryota; Metazoa; Chordata; Mammalia; Cingulata; Dasypodidae. The record is from RNAcentral.
UUCUGGGAACCAUGAGCAAGUGGUAAAGUAAUCAACGGUUCCCUCUUACCCCACCCCGUGUUUCAUGAGCAAGAAAAAUUUUGCUGGAAGAAAGAAAGAAGGAGAAACAUGAUUUGAAGCUGUGCCUUUUUCCUCCCCCCUGGCUUUUUUUGAAAUGACAUCAGUGGGUUGUUUGCCAAGCAUAACCUGGCAGCCCGGCGGCUCUGCCUGGCUGCCUGAGAUUUCUGGGGACCGAGCAGCUUGCCAGCUCCAGCCAUGGCAGCGUGCCAAGGUGACGUUCCGUGACUAAGCAGAAACGAGGGAGAGGGAGAGAGGGAGGAAAAAGACCCCUGUGGGCCUUGGGUGCAGGCCCAGGUCAGCAGCAGCUUUCCUGGCCUGCUUCCCUUCCAGAGACGAGGCCGCCAAGCAGAACUUCCUUGCCUGUUUCUGCUGGGUCCCUCUGAGCCUGCUUCUCCUACUUGGAGCUGCUUCUCCAGAAGCAGGCGUCUUGGGUUUGCACCUUCCUCUUUCCGUCCAGUCCGCCGCCUUCCCCGUGGGCCUCUCUGGUUGGCUCCAGCCCCCUUGGUCCAUUGGCCUGUGCACCUGCUGCUCUGUGCGCUCUCCGCCUAGCUCCCCGUGAAGAUGCAGCAGGGGAAGCACUGAGGCCAC